GACGAACGCUGGCGGCGUGCUUAACACAUGCAAGUCGAACGGAAAGGCCCUGCUUUUGUGGGGUGCUCGAGUGGCGAACGGGUGAGUAACACGUGAGUAACCUGCCCUUGACUUUGGGAUAACUUCAGGAAACUGGGGCUAAUACCGGAUAGGAGCUCCUGCUGCAUGGUGGGGGUUGGAAAGUUUCGGCGGUUGGGGAGGGACUCGCGGCUUAUCAGCUUGUUGGUGGGGUAGUGGCUUACCAAGGCUUUGACGGGUAGCCGGCCUGAGAGGGUGACCGGCCACAUUGGGACUGAGAUACGGCCCAGACUCCGACGGGAGGCAGAAGUGGGGAAUAUUGCACAAUGGGCGGAAGCCGGAUGCAGCAACGCCGCGUGCGGGAUGACGGCCUUCGGGUUGUAAACCGCUUUCGCCUGUGACGAAGCGUGAGUGACGGAAAUGGGUAAAGAAGCACCGGCUAACUACGU
Molecule: ribosomal RNA, 467 nt
Filed under: uncultured bacterium
Lineage: Bacteria
Description: partial 16S ribosomal RNA
Rfam family: Bacterial small subunit ribosomal RNA
Source: RNAcentral